RNAcentral lists this unclassified non-coding RNA (339 nucleotides) under Bombus terrestris (buff-tailed bumblebee). Its description in RNAcentral is "misc RNA ENSBTSG00005021251.1". Lineage: Eukaryota; Metazoa; Arthropoda; Insecta; Hymenoptera; Apidae. The record is from RNAcentral.
AAAAUAAAAAUUAGAAGAAGCCAGAGUUAAAUAAAAUAUAAUAAAGAGUGGUAAUAUAAUGGAGGAGUAUUGUACGUAAUAUAAUUGGAGAACUAUAUAAAUAUAAAGUUUUAAGAAGAAAUUUAUUUUCCAUCCUAAGUAAUUUAAAUUCAAUAGUUUAGGAUAAAUAUGUUUGGAACUAUAAUGACUCAUCAGAUAAAGUCAGUUUAUGAUGGAAAACAUAAUAAUAAUAUGAGAGUGGUAGUAUAUAUCGUUGAUUUUUAAACCUAGAAAGGAAAAGAAAUUAGUAGGAUACAGUAGGUAAUUUAAAACGUAAUAAAUUAAUGUAUAUAACAUAUU